RNAcentral lists this long non-coding RNA (371 nucleotides) under Sus scrofa (pig). RNAcentral describes it as "lncRNA (ENSSSCG00060071111.1)". The record is from RNAcentral. Lineage: Eukaryota; Metazoa; Chordata; Mammalia; Artiodactyla; Suidae.
AAUAAUAAAAAUAAAAAAUAAUAAAAAUUAAAAAACAAGGUGCUUGUUUAAAUGAAGCAGUCUCUUUCUAGGACUCCCCCCCGCCCCGGCCCCCAGAAAAGUAAUGGCGACGUCGGUGGGUGAUUUGGGAACCGUGCACAUUGCUUCAAGACUUACAGAAACGUUGAUGCUGUGUGCUGCCCUCAUCAACUCUCCUCUCCUUUCCUGUUAAAGGAUGUUUCUUUGAGACAAAGAAAAAGUAGUGUCUUUCGUUUCCUGUGUGCUCAAAGAAGUCGGCCUGAACUAUACACAGAACACACAGAUGGAAGAUUUGAAUCAGCUGUGAAAAAGAUGAUCAGUCCUAAUCAGAAAGUAAAAAGUGAGUGCUUAGA